AUGCUACAGAGUGGGGUAUACUUUGUGGCCUGUUUAUACUCUCCAGAAGCACUACGCCACAAGUGGAAUAAAUAUUGUUUGGAGCCUCCUAGGAAGAAAGAAGGACUUUCUUUGAGCAGAUGCACAUGAUACUCCAGAGGACUGGUUGGUGGAGAAGCUAUAGCUUCAUGAGAUCAGAAAACAGAAGCGUGUCACGGAUGGGAGCCCCUCAUCCUGCUGGGGAGCUGCCAAGCCCUGCAGCAGUCUGGAGCCAUUGAGUUGCUGCGGUAGCUACAGAAACUGUAAACCAUGAGUGCGGCCCCAGGCGGGGGAAGUGCCGACCCAUCUCUCUGUCCCUGCCUCCUGCAGCCCUUCAGCGAGAGUCCACCAUGGGGAAGG
Mauremys reevesii (Reeves's turtle) is the source of this 378-nucleotide long non-coding RNA. RefSeq lists it as uncharacterized. The record is from RefSeq and is a predicted model, not a curated record. The transcript is spliced from 4 exons. NCBI's taxonomy places the organism in Eukaryota, Metazoa, Chordata, Testudines, Geoemydidae.